RNAcentral lists this ribosomal RNA (219 nucleotides) under Sphyraena putnamae (sawtooth barracuda). RNAcentral's name for it is "partial 16S ribosomal RNA". The record is from RNAcentral. Lineage: Eukaryota; Metazoa; Chordata; Actinopteri; Sphyraenidae.
GCCUAUUAGCUAGCCCUACUUAAACGAACAACAAUCAAAUCUUAAUAAACCCAAACCCACUGAUUUAGACCCCCUAAGCUAAACCAUUCUCCCCCUGAAGUACGAGCGACGGAAAAAGGACUAUAUGGAGCGAUAGAGAAAGUACCGCAAGGGAAUGCUGAAAGAAAGAUGAAAUAGAUUAGUAAAGCACAAAAAAGCAGAGAUCCAACCUCGUACUUU